RNAcentral lists this ribosomal RNA (189 nucleotides) under uncultured bacterium. RNAcentral describes it as "partial 16S ribosomal RNA". It matches the Rfam family "Bacterial small subunit ribosomal RNA", at positions 338 to 524 of the family's 1533-position model. The record is from RNAcentral.
CCUACGGGAGGCAGCAGUGAGGAAUAUUGGUCAAUGGGCGCGAGCCUGAACCAGCCAAGUCGCGUGAGGGAAGACGGCCUUAUGGGUUGUAAACCUCUUUCAGAUGAGAGUAAAGGGUGCUACGUGUAGCACAUUGCAAGUAUCGUCAGAAGAAGCAUCGGCUAAUUCCGUGCCAGCAGCCGCGGUAAU